Molecule: long non-coding RNA, 251 nt
Filed under: Ananas comosus (pineapple)
Lineage: Eukaryota; Viridiplantae; Streptophyta; Magnoliopsida; Poales; Bromeliaceae
Description: long non-coding RNA (ACOM_LNC006450)
Source: RNAcentral
AGUCUAAAUCAUGACUAGAUUCAAACAAUAUCAAAUUUAGCUUUUAAAAUACCAAAUUCCCUUUCAAAGCUUAUACCUAAUUAUACAAAAAAAAACAUCCAUAUUUUUUUCCUUAAUUUUUUCUUGGAUAUAUUAAUUUACAAACUAAUUAAAACCAACUCUCCCUUACUUUCUAAUACUCUUUUCAAUUUAUCCUUCAAAUCAAACAAGAAUAUAUCUAAUAAAUCUUCCAUUUUAUGCGCAAAAAAAUU